GCAGCAUGUUGGUUGCUUGCAACCAAUGAUGGCGACCGGCGCACGGGUGAGUAACGCGUAUCGAACCUGCCUCACACACGGGAACAGCCUUGCGAAAGUAAGAUUAAUGCCCGGUGGUCUUAUAUGAUCGCAUGAUUGUAUAAGUAAAGAUUUAUCGGUGUGAGAUGGCGAUGCGUCCCAUUAGCUUGUUGGCGGGGUAACGGCCCACCAAGGCAUCGAUGGGUAGGGGUUCUGAGAGGAAGGUCCCCCACAUUGGAACUGAGACACGGUCCAAACUCCUACGGGAGGCAGCAGUGAGGAAUAUUGGUCAAUGGACGAAAGUCUGAACCAGCCAAGUAGCGUGCAGGAAGACGGCCCUCUGGGUUGUAAACUGCUUUUAGUUGGGAAUAAAACGCGGUACGUGUACCGCCUUGUAUGUACCAUCAGAAAAAGGACCGGCUAAUUCCGUGCCAGCAGCCGCGGUAAUACGGAAGGUUCGGGCGUUAUCCGGAUUUAUUGGGUUUAAAGGGAGCGCAGGCGGACUUUUAAGUCAGCUGUGAAAUCUGGCGGCUCAACCGUCAGACUGCAGUUGAUACUGGAAGUCUUGAGUGCACACAGGGAUGCUGGAAUUCAUGGUGUAGCGGUGAAAUGCUCAGAUAUCAUGAAGAACUCCAAUCGCGAAGGCAGGCAUCCGGGGUGCAACUGACGCUGAGGCUCGAAAGUGCGGGUAUCAAACAGGAUUAGAUACCCUGGUAGUCCGCACAGUAAACGAUGAAUACUCGCGAUUUGCGAUACAAUGUAAGUCGCCAAGCGAAAGCGUUAAGUAUUCCACCUGGGGAGUACGCCGGCAACGGUGAAACUCAAAGGAAUUGACGGGGGCCCGCACAAGCGGAGGAACAUGUGGUUUAAUUCGAUGAUACGCGAGGAACCUUCCCCGGGCUUGACCUGCCAGUGACGGUAGCAGAGACGCUACUUUCUUCGGACACUGGUGGAGGUGCUGCAUGGUUGUCGUCAGCUCGUGCCGUGAGGUGUCGGCUUAAGUGCCAUAACGAGCGCAACCCUCAUUCUCGUUUGCCAUCAGGUAAAGCUGGGCACUCCGGGGAUACUGCCAUCGUAAGAUGUGAGGAAGGUGGGGAUGACGUCAAA
RNAcentral lists this ribosomal RNA (1125 nucleotides) under human gut metagenome. Its description in RNAcentral is "bacterial SSU rRNA". It matches the Rfam family "Bacterial small subunit ribosomal RNA", at positions 68 to 1189 of the family's 1533-position model. The record is from RNAcentral.